GCUCGAUCGCCUUCUUCCCGCCGUUGUCCACGCCAACCGCGGCCGUUCCCGGAACCUUGAUGGGUCCGAGGUAGCCGACGGUGCCGGCGCCGCCGUAGGUGGAAGCCUCGUCGGGGUGCUGAACUUGGUUCAUGAUGUAGGACCAGCCGUUGAUGUUCUCGUGGUACCAGACGCCGGUGGUCUCGGCCUCCUGGACGACGGUGCUGAUGCGGGUGAGGCCGUGGGUCUCCAUGUGGUAGGCCCAGACGGCGUUGUUCUUGUGCUUUGAGGUGUCCUCGCCGAUGAGGAGAAUGUCGUGGCCGUUCAUGAACGCGACGUUGUCGGGGUUGGCGAUGUUGUGGAUGUCGCAAUCGUCGUCGCCGUCCGUGUGUCCCAGCUUGUCCUCGGUGUUGAAGGACUUGUCCUUGGGGACGCCGCAGAUGAGGGGAGAGAUGGACUUGAUGCGGUUGUUGGCGUCAAGGGGCGCGCGGUAAACGCAGCCGCAGGUGUUCUUCUCGAUGCCGAUGUGAUCACCUUCCGCAUGGUCGCCCUUGCUGUCAAGCUUGUGCUCCAUGGAAGCUUCGUUGGAAGAGAUGGCGAAGUACAUCUCCUUGCGGUUCUCUGACCAGGUGAUGCCCUCGAGCUUGCGCCACUGGGAGCUUGCGCCAACGUAGGCGGCGUAGAUGCGGGUCUCGAAUCGGGAGGCGGCGAUCUCCAUGCCGGUCUUGAGCUUGAGGCACAUCGCGCCGCCGUCGACGACGGUGGCCUUGAAGCCGGAAGCGCAAGUGAAGUCGUAAUCGCCGUUGGGGCCGGCGGUCUUGGUGCCGAUUUCAAACAUGUCGGUGAACUUGAUGUAGCUGCCAUCGGCUUUGGUCAUGAGGGCCUUGACCUGCGCGUUCGAGGCUUUGCCGAGGGAGACCCACUCGACGUCGAACUUGCCAGCGCCGACGCCCUUGGCGGAUGUCUGCGUGACCUUCAUGGCGAAAAGCUCGCCAGAGGAGAGGUCGUUGGCCUUGUCAGGGACAAACAUCGCGGCGACGCCGGUGUUGGAGUCGUCGGUGAUGUAGCACACCUGGGGAGUAGCAUCGACGCAGUACGGGAGCUCGAUGGAGUAGCGGCCCAUGGAGUAGUGCUUGGUGGCAGUGAUGACGGGCUCAUCGGCGGACUUGGAAUCGUCGAUGGAGACCUCGUUGACCCAGCGGUGCAUGUACGGAGUCCAGGAUUUCUUAAUCUUGGCGAGGUCAUCGUCGUGGAGACUGAGAUGGCGCAGCGACAGAACGUCUCCGCCCAGAUCCGAAGUCUUCGUGUAGGCACCGGUGACGGCGCUGUCCCACUUGAGGGAGCUCGGGACGCCCCACUCCUCGCCUCCAAGGUGGGUGUUCCACGGGGAAACGGAACCAGCGCAGGUGGCGAUGAGGCCGCUGUCGGCGGAGAAAUCGGCGUGGAAGAUCUUGUCAGGGGUGAGGAUGCCCGUGCCGGGGUUCUGCUUGAGACGAAGGACCUGGAUGUUCGCGGGGCGAUCCUCGAGGUGCACGGCGGCCCAGAGAGUGUUUGGCGUGGCCUUGUUGCGGGUCUUGAGGAUGGAUACGAAAUCCUCCAUGUUGGAGAUCUUGGUCUUGCUGGCCUUGCCGAUUGCGGCGUCGUAUGCGAGGGUGGACUUGCCGCUGUCACUCAUGCCGGUGAUUGUGGCCACGCUCCCGAGUUCCGAGGAGUGCGGCAUGGUCUUGCCGCUAUCGUCGAGGAGCUCGGCGAAGGUGACACCGCCGACCUUCUGACCGGAUCGGAUGAUCUCGGUGUACUGCAGCUUCUGGAAGAGGCCCUUGUACACGAUCCAAGGGGAGGCCAUGUUCGACUGUUGCGCAGCGGAGGUCUCCGGGUAGGGGGAUUCUCCGAAGAACGUGCCGGUUGCUCCGGUGAUGGCGACGGGCUGGGUGGGUUCGGCCUCGACACCCGGAACCUUGAUGGGUCCGAGGUAGCCGACGGUGCCGGCGCCGCCGUAGGUGGAGGCCUCGUCGGGGUGCUGAACUUGGUUCAUGAUGUAGGACCAGCCGUUGAUGUUCUCGUGGUACCAGACGCCGGUGGUCUCGGCCUCCUGGACGACGGUGUUGAUGCGGGUGAGGGCGUGGGUCUCCAUGUGGUAGGCCCAGACGGCGUUGUUCUUGUGCUUGGAGGUGUCCUCGCCGAUGAGGAGAAUGUCGUGGCCGUUCAUGAACGCGACGUUGUCGGGGUUGGCGAUGUUGUGGAUGUCGCAUUUGUCGUCGCCGUCCGUGUGUCCAAGCUUGUCCUCGGUGUUGAAGGACGUGGGGACGCCGCAGACGAGGGGAGAGAUGGACUUGAUGCGGUUGUUGGCGUCGAGGGGCGCGCGGUAAACGCAGCCGCAGGUGUUCUUCUCGAUGCCGAUGUGAUCACCUUCCGCAUGGUCGCCCUUGCUGUCAAGCUUGUGCUCCAUGGAAGCUUCGUUGGAAGAGAUGGCGAAGUACAUCUCCUUGCGGUUCUUUGACCAG
Molecule: long non-coding RNA, 2483 nt
Filed under: Micromonas commoda
Lineage: Eukaryota; Viridiplantae; Chlorophyta; Mamiellophyceae; Mamiellales; Mamiellaceae
Description: long non-coding RNA (MCOM_LNC000458)
Source: RNAcentral